Molecule: ribosomal RNA, 365 nt
Filed under: uncultured bacterium
Lineage: Bacteria
Description: bacterial SSU rRNA
Rfam family: Bacterial small subunit ribosomal RNA
Source: RNAcentral
AACGAACGCUGGCGGCAUGCCUAACACAUGCAAGUCGAACGCAUGUAGCAAUACAUGAGUGGCGAACGGGUGAGUAACGCGUGGGAACCUGCCUAGUGGUAGGGAAUAACCGCGGGAAACUGCGGCUAAUACCCUAUGAGCCCUCCGGGGGGAAAGAUUUAUCGCCAUUAGGGGGGCCCGCGUCGGAUUAGCUAGUUGGUGGGGUAACGGCCCACCAAGGCGACGAUCCGUAGCUGGUCUGAGAGGAUGAUCAGCCACACUGGGACUGAGAUACGGCCCAGACUCCUACGGGAGCAGCAGUGGGGAAUCUUGCGCAAUGGGCAAAGCCUGACGCAGCAACGCCGCGUGGAGGAUGAAGGCCUUUU